Long non-coding RNA from Solanum dulcamara, 1654 nucleotides. RefSeq lists it as uncharacterized. Lineage: Eukaryota; Viridiplantae; Streptophyta; Magnoliopsida; Solanales; Solanaceae. The transcript has 10 exons. The record is from RefSeq and is a predicted model, not a curated record.
AGGACGGCAAAUGUUUGUACUUUGAAAUUGAUGAUUGUAGACAAGAUGUUGGUACAAUAGCCCAAAGAGGGUCUUGCAUUCUCUGAAAAGAGCCUCUGCUAAGAAUCGCCCUUGUGCAUCCCAGUGUCUCCUUCAAAAUUGUUGGUAUUUAAAGUGAGGAUGACCUGCUUUGCACACGUGCUUCUCCUUCCCCAUUGCAGCUGUUGUCCAGUGGGUUUGGGAUUCAUCUGAGUUCCCUUAAUAAAUCGAAUGCAAGCGAUGGUUCAUUCAAGCUCCCAGGAUACAUCUCAGGUCCUGAUGUUUACACAGUGAAGAUCUUUCAAUAUUUUUGGAUAUUGUAAGUGUUUAAUCUUUAGAUCAAAUUUGCAAACCAGGAGAAGAAAGUACAACACCUUUGCUCAAGAGCUUUGAUUUUGUAAAGUCCGCAUUUGGUAUUAAUCAGAGGAAGUAGAACAACAUCAUACAUUGCAUCUCCUUGUGAAAGUAGCUGUGUACAUUGAGCUGUACUCUUCUCCAAAAAUGUUAAAAGUAAUAACUGCAAUACCUCAGUCUCAGUGGGAUUUCUUAUGGUGGUAGUGUUAUUGCUUACUAUUUCUGAAACCAGCUACUGAUUUCUUAUGCAACGAAUGCUACAUCUGGUCAAAUAGAAAACGUAUCUCCGGGCUUGUCCACUUUACCGGCAUUUGGAAGGAAAUAUGACGUUAAUAGUGUAGCCAAUGAACCUCUGUUGUUGUCCAAGGAUGUCAAUGUCUCAGACUCCUCCAUUCUUGGAUAUCCAAGAGCUCUUGCAUUUGGUGUUCCAAGCAACUCACACUUUGACACCCCAAGAUUUGAUUCCUAUUCCUUUGGCCAACCAGCAGUAUACAUGUCAGGGAGCAAAGGAAACGAAAGUACAACACCUUUGCUCAAGAGCUCUGGUUUUUGAAAGUCUGCAUUUGGUAUUAAUCAGAAAGGAAGUAGAACAACAUCAUACAUUGCAUCUCCAGAGAUAGAUAAUAUAAGACCCGGUGGUGCAAACAUUCAAUCCAUUUGUGGAAUGCAGACUUAUCAAGAUAAAAGCCAUGACGUGUUGAGGUUUGAGGACUACCAGUUAGGUGAUAAAGGUGAGGAUUGAGAUAUGUAGAUGUUACACUCAAUACUGCUAAUUUCAUGAAAGGGGAGAUCAUAUUUACUUUUCUAGAGCAGGAGGCGGCUUUGGAAUUGGCUGAAAAGCUAAAUCUGCUCCUUGUGAAAGUAGCUAUGCAUAUUGAGCUGUAAUCUUCUCCAUAAAUGAACAUUAGCCUCUAAUGCAGCAACGAAUGCUACAUCUGGUCAAACACAAAACAUAUCUCCGGGCUCAUCCACUUUACAAACAUUUGGAAAGAAAUAUGACGUUAACAGCGUGGCCGAUGAACCUCUGAUGUGGUCCAGGGAUGCCAAUGUCUCAGGCUCCUCCAUAUUUGGAUCUCUAAAACCUACUUCAUCUGGUGUUUCAAGCAACUCACACUUUGGCACCCCAAGAUUUGAUUCCUAUUCCUUCGGCCAAGCAGCAGUAUCCAUGUCAGGGAGCAAAGGUACCCUUUUUCAUGGAUAAAGAAAACACUUCUGGUGUACUAAGGACAGAAUUUCCACUGGGGGCUGAUUCAUAUGUGGACAAAUAUAGGGAUCCAUGACA